This is a long non-coding RNA of Ceratitis capitata (Mediterranean fruit fly), 284 nucleotides long. RefSeq lists it as uncharacterized. NCBI's taxonomy places the organism in Eukaryota, Metazoa, Arthropoda, Insecta, Diptera, Tephritidae. The record is from RefSeq and is a predicted model, not a curated record. The transcript has 2 exons.
UUUCGAUUUUUGCCGCGCUCGUUCAGCUUCAGUACGUCGUUCACAUUUAAUCCGUUCGGUGCUUUUUGACUGUUUGGAACCUUUUUAAUAAUUACGUUGAAACGUUGUUGAUUCUUAUUAUAAAUAUUGUUUUGUUGAAUCUGAGGACGAACAAAAACAAAAACAAAUAAAAAAAAGAAACAAAUCCCAAUCAAUGUCAAGGAAACCAACACAUAUGGCAAGGCAACUCUAGGACAAACAACCAAAAAGGAAAAGCAAAAUCAAAAUCAAGAAAACAAAAAAAA